Long non-coding RNA from Brienomyrus brachyistius, 386 nucleotides. RefSeq lists it as uncharacterized. The record is from RefSeq and is a predicted model, not a curated record. NCBI's taxonomy places the organism in Eukaryota, Metazoa, Chordata, Actinopteri, Osteoglossiformes, Mormyridae. The transcript has 4 exons.
CAUCUCCGUCAGCUCCCUAAGCGAUGGCAUUUUUGUUCUGCAUUUGCCCUAUGAGGAGAAGAAGCAGAAGGGUGAUGUGGUCCUGCAGACUGAACAUGAUGCAGACACCACUGCAGAAUGACACAUGGGAACGCCUUCAUAAACCAACCAGAUCCAUGGAGGAGAUCAAUGAAGGAAACACGAGCUGGAAUCCGAGAAGUGAAGGAACACGGGGUUUAUUCAGGAUCGUACACAGGAAAACAUGCGAUGACUUUACAGUGAGCGGACUGGGGAAACAAACUUAAACGCAGACUUUGUCAUGGAUCCGGGCGGGUUCUGAGCGGGAACGAGGCAUCAUGCAGGCGGGGAACAGAAAUGGUGGACGACCCACUUGCGGCUCACAGCAA